RNAcentral lists this ribosomal RNA (422 nucleotides) under Verrucomicrobiota bacterium. RNAcentral describes it as "Verrucomicrobia bacterium partial 16S ribosomal RNA". It matches the Rfam family "Bacterial small subunit ribosomal RNA", at positions 355 to 776 of the family's 1533-position model. Lineage: Bacteria; Pseudomonadati; Verrucomicrobiota. The record is from RNAcentral.
UGGGGAAUUUUGCACAAUGGGCGCAAGCCUGAUGCAGCGACGCCGCGUGAGGGAUGAAGGCCUUCGGGUUGUAAACCUUUUUCGCUCAUGGUCAAGCCGCAGCUUUGGGUUGUGGUGAGGGUAGUGGGUAAAGAAGCGCCGGCUAACUACGUGCCAGCAGCCGCGGUAAUACGUAGGGCGCGAGCGUUGUCCGGAAUUAUUGGGCGUAAAGGGCUUGUAGGCGGUUGGCCGCGUCUGCCGUGAAAUCCUCUGGCUUAACUGGGGGCGUGCGGUGGGUACGGGUUGACUUGAGGGCGGUAGGGGAGACUGGAAUUCCUGGUGUAGCGGUGGAAUGCGCAGGUAUCAGGAGGAACACCGGUGGCGAAGGCGGGUCUCUGGGCCGUUACAGACGCUGAGGAGCGAAAGCGUGGGGAGCAAACAGG